GAUGAACGCUGGCGGCGUGCCUAAUACAUGCAAGUAGAACGCUGAAGCUUGGUGCUUGCACCGAGCGGAUGAGUUGCGAACGGGUGAGUAACGCGUAGGUAACCUGCCUCUUAGCGGGGGAUAACUAUUGGAAACGAUAGCUAAUACCGCAUAAAAGUCAAUAUCGCAUGAUAUUGAUUUGAAAGGUGCAAAUGCAUCACUAAGAGAUGGACCUGCGUUGUAUUAGCUAGUUGGUGAGGUAACGGCUCACCAAGGCGACGAUACAUAGCCGACCUGAGAGGGUGAUCGGCCACACUGGGACUGAGACACGGCCCAGACUCCUACGGGAGGCAGCAGUAGGGAAUCUUCGGCAAUGGGGGCAACCCUGACCGAGCAACGCCGCGUGAGUGAAGAAGGUUUUCGGAUCGUAAAGCUCUGUUGUAAGAGAAGAACGAGUGUGAGAGUGGAAAAUUCACGCUGUGACGUAUCUACCA
This 473-nucleotide ribosomal RNA is filed under the name Streptococcus parasanguinis. RNAcentral describes it as "bacterial SSU rRNA". It matches the Rfam family "Bacterial small subunit ribosomal RNA", at positions 28 to 485 of the family's 1533-position model. Lineage: Bacteria; Bacillati; Bacillota; Bacilli; Lactobacillales; Streptococcaceae. The record is from RNAcentral.